CAAUAGCGUAUAUUAAAGUUGUUGCAGUUAAAAAGCUCGUAGUUGGAUUUCUGGUGGGAGCGAUCGGUCUGGCGCUUAGCGCGAGUACUUGCAUCGUCUCCGGCCAUCCUUGGGGAGAGUCUGUCUGGCAUUAGGUUGUCGGGCAGAGGAUCCUCAUCGUUUACUGUGAAAAAAUUAGAGUGUUCAAAGCAGGCUUAUGCCGUUGAAUAUAUUAGCAUGGAAUAAUAAGAUAGGACUUUGGUACUAUUUUGUUGGUUUGCGCACCAAAGUAAUGAUUAAUAGGGACAGUUGGGGGUAUUCGUAUUCCGUUGUCAGAGGCGAAAUUCUUGGAUUUACGGAAGACGAACUACUGCGAAAGCAUUUACCAAGGAUGUUUUCAUUAA
RNAcentral lists this ribosomal RNA (383 nucleotides) under uncultured eukaryote. RNAcentral's name for it is "partial 18S ribosomal RNA". It matches the Rfam family "Eukaryotic small subunit ribosomal RNA", at positions 592 to 976 of the family's 1831-position model. The record is from RNAcentral.